RNAcentral lists this ribosomal RNA (497 nucleotides) under uncultured bacterium. Its description in RNAcentral is "partial 16S ribosomal RNA". It matches the Rfam family "Bacterial small subunit ribosomal RNA", at positions 28 to 507 of the family's 1533-position model. The record is from RNAcentral.
GAUGAACGCUGGCGGCGUGCCUAAUACAUGCCAGUCGAGCGAACAGACGAGGAGCUUGCUCCUCUGACGUUAGCGGCGGACGGGUGGGUAACACGUGGAUAACCUACCUAUAAGACUGGGAUAACUUCGGGAAACCGGAGCUAAUACCGGAUAAUAUAUUGAACCGCAUGGUUCAAUAGUGAAAGACGGUUUUGCUGUCACUUAUAGAUGGAUCCGCGCCGCAUUAGCUAGUUGGUAAGGUAACGGCUUACCAAGGCAACGAUGCGUAGCCGACCUGAGAGGGUGAUCGGCCACACUGGAACUGAGACACGGUCCAGACUCCUACGGGAGGCAGCAGUAGGGAAUCUUCCGCAAUGGGCGAAAGCCUGACGGAGCAACGCCGCGUGAGUGAUGAAGGUCUUCGGAUCGUAAAACUCUGUUAUUAGGGAAGAACAAAUGUGUAAGUAACUAUGCACGUCUUGACGGUACCUAAUCAGAAAGCCACGGCUAACUACGUG